UACGUAGGGGGCAAGCGUUGUCCGGAAUCAUUGGGCGUAAAGAGCGUGUAGGCGGUUCAGUAAGUCCGCUGUGAAAGUCAAGGGCUCAACCCUUGAAUGCCGGUGGAUACUGUUGAACUAGAGUCCGGAAGAGGCGAGUGGAAUUCCUGGUGUAGCGGUGAAAUGCGCAGAUAUCAGGAGGAACACCGAUGGCGAAGGCAGCUCGCUGGGACGGUACUGACGCUGAGACGCGAAAGCGCGGGGAGCAAACAGG
This 253-nucleotide ribosomal RNA is filed under the name uncultured bacterium. RNAcentral's name for it is "partial 16S ribosomal RNA". It matches the Rfam family "Bacterial small subunit ribosomal RNA", at positions 524 to 776 of the family's 1533-position model. The record is from RNAcentral.